Pan troglodytes (chimpanzee) is the source of this 628-nucleotide long non-coding RNA. RefSeq lists it as uncharacterized. NCBI's taxonomy places the organism in Eukaryota, Metazoa, Chordata, Mammalia, Primates, Hominidae. The transcript has 3 exons. The record is from RefSeq and is a predicted model, not a curated record.
CACCUUCUUCCCAGUGCGGCCCGGGCUGCGGCCCCGGGUCCGAGGAGGCCCGGGGAGACCCGGAGGAGGUCAGAAGGCCUUCAGGGCCCCCGGGAUGGGGUGGAAACUGAGACCCAGAGAGCCGUGACUUGACUGAUCCCACAGCCAGGAAAUGGUGGAGCCUGGAUUUGAACCCCAGCUUUUAAGAAGAAGGUGCCACUGUCCUGGAAGAACUCUCAGGACAGCAUUAGUGUCUCAGGGAUCCCCCUAAUUGGAAGGGCCUUAAGCCUAAUCAUGAUUGUCACUGAGGAUCCAGGAGGGCUUCCUGGAGGAGGAGGCAGCUCCAUUCUGAAAUGCCAAGGGUACAGCUUUAUUGGGACAGCCAGUGUCUCUGAAUAUGUAGGUUUUGCACAGAGCUUGUACUGCCCCAGGGCCUGUACACUGCCUGUCCCCUCUGCCUUGUGCACUCUUUCCCUAGAUGUCCAAAUGGCUCCUUUCCUCACCUACCCCAAAUCUCAAUUCAAAUGUUUCCCCAGCCUCCCCUCAUUUCAGUAAUCACUCUGCAGUGAGCUAGGAUGGCACCACUGCACUCCAGCUUGGAUAAGAGAACAAGACCCUGUCUCUUAACUAAAUACAUAAAUAAAAAGAA